GGGUUGUGAGGUUAAGCGACCAAGCGUACACGGUGGAUGCCCUGGCAGUCAGAGGCGAUGAAGGACGUGCUAAUCUGCGAUAAGCGCCGGUAAGGUGAUAUGAACCGUUAUAACCGGCGAUUUCCGAAUGGGGAAACCCAGUGUGACUCGUCACACUAUCAUUAACUGAAUCCAUAGGUUAAUGAAGCGAACCGGGGGAACUGAAACAUCUAAGUACCCCGAGGAAAAGAAAUCAACCGAGAUUCCCCCAGUAGCGGCGAGCGAACGGGGAGGAGCCCAGAGCCUGAAUCAGCAUGUGUGUUAGUGGAAGCGUCUGGAAAGGCGCGCGAUACAGGGUGACAGCCCCGUACACAAAAGCGCACAUGUUGUGAGCUCGAUGAGUAGGGCGGGACACGUGGUAUCCUGUCUGAAUAUGGGGGGACCAUCCUCCAAGGCUAAAUACUCCUGACUGACCGAUAGUGAACCAGUACCGUGAGGGAAAGGCGAAAAGAACCCCGGCGAGGGGAGUGAAACAGAACCUGAAACCGUGUACGUACAAGCAGUGGGAGCACAGGUUUACCUGUGUGACUGCGUACCUUUUGUAUAAUGGGUCAGCGACUUAUAUUCUGUAGCAAGGUUAACCGUAUAGGGGAGCCGAAGGGAAACCGAGUCUUAACCGGGCGUUAAGUUGCAGGGUAUAGACCCGAAACCCGGUGAUCUAGCCAUGGGCAGGUUGAAGGUUGGGUAACACUAACUGGAGGACCGAACCGACUAAUGUUGAAAAAUUAGCGGAUGACCUGUGGCUGGGGGUGAAAGGCCAAUCAAACCGGGAGAUAGCUGGUUCUCCCCGAAAGCUAUUUAGGUAGCGCCUCGUGAAUUCAUCUCCGGGGGUAGAGCACUGUUUCGGCUAGGGGGUCAUCCCGACUUACCAACCCGAUGCAAACUGCGAAUACCGGAGAAUGUUAUCACGGGAGACACACGGCGGGUGCUAACGUCCGUCGUGAAGAGGGAAACAACCCAGACCGCCAGCUAAGGUCCCAAAGUCAUGGUUAAGUGGGAAACGAUGUGGGAAGGCCCAGACAGCCAGGAUGUUGGCUUAGAAGCAGCCAUCAUUUAAAGAAAGCGUAAUAGCUCACUGGUCGAGUCGGCCUGCGCGGAAGAUGUAACGGGGCUAAACCAUGCACCGAAGCUGCGGCAGCGAACGUAUCACUUAAAACGAUUCAGAAGCUUACGAUUGACGGAGCGAAGCGACGUCAAAGCGUAUACAAAGUCGAGUCGGUUUAAGGAUACGUUCGUUGGGUAGGGGAGCGUUCUGUAAGCCUGUGAAGGUGGCCUGUGAGGGUUGCUGGAGGUAUCAGAAGUGCGAAUGCUGACAUAAGUAACGAUAAAGCGGGUGAAAAGCCCGCUCGCCGGAAGACCAAGGGUUCCUGUCCAACGUUAAUCGGGGCAGGGUGAGUCGACCCCUAAGGCGAGGCCGAAAGGCGUAGUCGAUGGGAAACGGGUUAAUAUUCCCGUACUUGGUGUUACUGCGAAGGGGGGACGGAGAAGGCUAUGUUGGCCGGGCGACGGUUGUCCCGGUUUAAGCAUGUAGGCGGAUGUUCCAGGUAAAUCCGGAACGUUACUAACGCUGAGGUGUGAUGACGAGGCACCACGGUGCUGAAGCAACAAAUGCCCUGCUUCCAGGAAAAGCCUCUAAGCAUCAGGUAACAUCAAAUCGUACCCCAAACCGACACAGGUGGUCAGGUAGAGAAUACCAAGGCGCUUGAGAGAACUCGGGUGAAGGAACUAGGCAAAAUGGUGCCGUAACUUCGGGAGAAGGCACGCUGACACGUAGGUGAAGUGGUUUACCCAUGGAGCUGAAGUCAGUCGAAGAUACCAGCUGGCUGCAACUGUUUAUUAAAAACACAGCACUGUGCAAACACGAAAGUGGACGUAUACGGUGUGACGCCUGCCCGGUGCCGGAAGGUUAAUUGAUGGGGUCAGCGCAAGCGAAGCUCCUGAUCGAAGCCCCGGUAAACGGCGGCCGUAACUAUAACGGUCCUAAGGUAGCGAAAUUCCUUGUCGGGUAAGUUCCGACCUGCACGAAUGGCGUAAUGAUGGCCAGGCUGUCUCCACCCGAGACUCAGUGAAAUUGAACUCGCUGUGAAGAUGCAGUGUACCCGCGGCAAGACGGAAAGACCCCGUGAACCUUUACUAUAGCUUGACACUGAACAUUGAGCCUUGAUGUGUAGGAUAGGUGGGAGGCUUUGAAGCGUGGACGCCAGUCUGCGUGGAGCCAACCUUGAAAUACCACCCUUUAAUGUUUGAUGUUCUAACGUGGACCCGUAAUCCGGGUUGCGGACAGUGUCUGGUGGGUAGUUUGACUGGGGCGGUCUCCUCCUAAAGAGUAACGGAGGAGCACGAAGGUUGGCUAAUCCUGGUCGGACAUCAGGAGGUUAGUGCAAUGGCAUAAGCCAGCUUGACUGCGAGCGUGACGGCGCGAGCAGGUGCGAAAGCAGGUCAUAGUGAUCCGGUGGUUCUGAAUGGAAGGGCCAUCGCUCAACGGAUAAAAGGUACUCCGGGGAUAACAGGCUGAUACCGCCCAAGAGUUCAUAUCGACGGCGGUGUUUGGCACCUCGAUGUCGGCUCAUCACAUCCUGGGGCUGAAGUAGGUCCCAAGGGUAUGGCUGUUCGCCAUUUAAAGUGGUACGCGAGCUGGGUUUAGAACGUCGUGAGACAGUUCGGUCCCUAUCUGCCGUGGGCGCUGGAAGACUGAGGGGGGCUGCUCCUAGUACGAGAGGACCGGAGUGGACGCAUCACUGGUGUUCGGGUUGUCAUGCCAAUGGCACUGCCCGGUAGCUAAAUGCGGAAGAGAUAAGUGCUGAAAGCAUCUAAGCACGAAACUUGCCCCGAGAUGAGUCUUCCCUGAGACUUUGAGUCUCCUGAAGGAACGUUAAAGACGAUGACGUUGAUAGGCCGGGUGUGUAAGCGCAGCGAUGCGUUGAGCUAACCGGUACUAAUGAACCGUGAGGCUUAACCUUACAACGCCGAAGCUGUU
Molecule: ribosomal RNA, 3016 nt
Filed under: Salmonella enterica
Lineage: Bacteria; Pseudomonadati; Pseudomonadota; Gammaproteobacteria; Enterobacterales; Enterobacteriaceae
Description: 23S ribosomal RNA
Rfam family: Bacterial large subunit ribosomal RNA
Source: RNAcentral